Molecule: long non-coding RNA, 4573 nt
Organism: Ostrea edulis (European flat oyster)
Lineage: Eukaryota; Metazoa; Mollusca; Bivalvia; Ostreida; Ostreidae
Exons: 3
Source: RefSeq, a predicted model, not a curated record
UGAUCCCACCUCUGGUGUGACUAGGGGUCCGUGUUUGUCCAACUCUAUAUUUUGUAUUGCUUACAUGAGUUAUGAGAUAGAUCACUGUUCGUUAUCUUCGCCUUCUUUUUUUAUUUAUUUCCCAGAAAACUUGAUCAUUCAAUAAUGUGUGUAUUUUAUGGACUUGUGUUUCUCUAAAAUCAAGAGAAAGCGAUAUUCCAAUGGUGAGGUGAUCGAGACAAAAUUAUGAAGAAUUCUAUCAUAGGAAAUGCGAAUCAACACGAUAUGAUAUAUUUAUUGGCUGCAGUGUUAUGUCGGACAUGUUUUUAUUUGUUUUAGCAAUAUAAGAAAAUAUUGUGAAAACUGUUGUAAAAUCUCCGAUCAUUUGAUAAAGCAGUUAUUGACUUUCGAUUCGGUCCACUCACGACUAUACGAUCCUGGUCAAGUCCAUGUAGUCAAUAGCUAAUAAACCUCACAUUGAAAGAAUGAAUUAAAGUGGUCAUCUAAACUCACUUUUAUUUUAACCAUACGACCAAUCAGCGAGUGAAAUUUGCAUGCUCGAUCAAGCGAAAUGACAUGCUGUUGUUGGAACGAUAAUAUUUGUUGCCAUUAUCUUUUAUUACUUAUUGUACCUAAUGUACCACUGAUGGAUGGUGUGAGUGAAUAAAUGAACUUGAAUUACUGUCACUUCGCGUGAUCAAGCGUGCAGAUUUUUUGGGCGAACCUUCUUAUAGAUUUCAAUAAUGAAACAAUUUUUCUUUUGUUCUCAGUGAUCAAUCACAUUGAUUGAUUGUUGUUUAACGUCCCUCUCGAGAAUAUCUUACUCACAUGGAGACGUCACCACUGCCGGUGAAGGGCUGCAAAAUUUAGGCCUAUGCUCGGUGCUUAUGGUCUUUGAGCAGGGAGGGAUCUUUAUCGUGCCAAGCGUGCUAUGACACGGGACCUCGGUUUUUUGCGAUCUCAUCCGAAGGACUGCUCCAUUUAAUCGCCUUCUACGACAAGCAAAGGGUACUGAGGACCUAUUCUAACCCGGAUCCCCACGGGACCCAAUCACAUAGCGUAAUCACCCAGACUCACUUUUAUUGAAACCACACGACCAAACAGUGAGUGAAAUCUGCAUGCUCGAACAACCUAAGUAACACUGUUAUUGGAACGAUGUUUGAGGUCAAGCCUUAUUUUCCUUGGUCUAGAUUGAAUCGUUGUGGGGUAAAGAGCACCAAUAAUCGCACACGUAAUUUGCCUCAAUUCGUGAUCAUAAAUAAAAAUGAUAUAAUUUCAUUACACAUAGAAAGGCCGACAUCAAAUUUCAUUUCACGUAGAUCUUUUAAGAAAGCUUAUUGUAGGUAGGGAACACAAGAAUCCGAUAUGGCCUCGGACUUUGUAUCGUAGGGCUCCGAUAAAACGUGGCGUGAUUGCUGUGCAUUCUGUAACUAAAUAUGUGUUUCUGCAGUUACCUUGGUCUUUUCUCGCAACAUAACACACAUCAGGUAUAUAUACAAGCAGGUAAAUACGGGUAGAUAUGUUGACUGUCAAUUCUAUCCCUCUGCACAGCGGGCGUGCAGAUUAGGAAGUAGAUUAGGUCAUGGGCGGCUACAAGUAGUUAGUACGUGGCUGUGAACUGACUGUUCUCAUCUCGCAAGUAUAGACAACAUUGCCUGAUUUGGGACGAAUUUAUUCUGUCCUGUAAAAAGGGUAAUUGUUCAGAAGGUUGGGCUUCACUCCUCCAAAGUUGACAAACAACCAAACAAAGAGUCAUUAGUGACCUCGAAAAUUUCAAACGAAUCCAGGAACCAAAUCUGCAGUGCACUGAAGGACGCUAUAUAAAGCCACAAAGACUGAUUGGUGAAACGUUAAGCGCCAUCAUUUAGCGUAUCUAGCAAAUAGGCCCUAAAGAUAGUAGCCGACAGGAAGAAUUCUGUGAAGAAGUCGAUACUGUAGCCACUGUACAGAGGAAUCUGAUGUAGUUUUAAAACAAACUUGAAAACAUCCUUUAUGCAUAUAUCAUUGACACCAUGGGGAGAUAACUCUACAUUCCACUUUGGUAUUGAAGUGGGAGUUACCUCAUUUGUGUUUGUACAAUUAUAAAUAAUAUUUGUACAUCUGACAUUUGGCAGAAUAUUUUCAAAAUAAAAUGGUAAAUAAGGAAGACAAAUUUUCAACAUACAGGUCCUCUCAAUUGUCAAAAUCUUGAAGCAUUUUGAAAGAGCACAAAUAACACUAUUAUAUUGCAUCACAUCUAUAUCAGGGAUAUGAAACUUCUGUUCAAAAAUCAUUUUUGAUAAGAAUGUAUAUUCAUCAGACAAAAAAUCUCCAACAACUUAAAACACCUUGUUGGUACCAAUUCUUUAUAAAAAUACAUUUACCACCAAAGUUUAUGUUUGAAUUAUACCAUACUGGAAUAGUGAAUGUUUUAUUUUUCAUAUUCUUAUCUUGAUCUAUUUUCUUCAUAACAUGCUGCCAUGAGCUAAAAACAUCAUUCCAAAAAAUAUUAUUUUUGUUCAUUAGAACAUUUGAAAUAUACAAAUCUCCAAAAUCAAGUGUUUGUCAUCUUCAUGUGUUUUCGUAAUUUUGAUCCUAGAAAUGACACUAUAAAACCAUGGCGUGUAAGUAUUGAUAUAUUAACUCUGUCGAGCUACUUGUGCUAACUUGGAAGGCUCGGGUGAUGACACGCGGUAAUUAUGCUAAUGGCGGAGAUGACACAAUCAUGGCCAUGUUAUAUCACAUUGCAGAUGUCUCUUAGCAAUCGACAUGUUCUUGAUAGAUUAUUACCGUAUAUAAUAACCAUCUUGCUUGCCGAAGGACUCGUUAUCUAUUAUUUGACCACAUGGAAUACAUAUGAGCAUACAGUUACGUCACAAUGAGUAUCAACAGGCUACCAUAUCGAGAACAAACGCCCCAAGGAUGACGUAUUUAUAUAUUAAUAUCUGCUCUACACCAUUCCUAAUACAUCUAAAAUCCAUCUGAAAACUUCGCUGAUGACUUUCAUUGGUUGAUAAAUGCUGAGAUAUGCUUGGAUGUGCUCUGAUUCAUUCGAACGAGUAUAUUAUUUUAAUUUUAAUAGUUUCGGUCCGGGAAACACAUCUACAACAGUGUCAAGGCUCGUUAUAUUUAGAAAGAAGAAAUAUCUUGUGAAAGUUUUCUACAGUGUCAAUCCUUGCAAAACAAUAUUGCAUUUUCCUACCGUUUGAAUAAAUUUUGAUUGUCUGUGCUGUGUUUUGUGACACUCGAGUAAUUAAAUGCCAGGGAACCCAAUGCACAAGUAUGACAAAAUUUAAACAGGUGCCUUAAUUUAAGAAAUUGUCUAAUUAUUCGAUUUCUCAAAUUUCUAAUUAAAAAAUCGCAUUUGUAAUUAAUCUUCAUUUACAUACUUUGGUAGGUAUUCAUUUGGCGUAUAGUGUCACCGAUAUUGAAUAUUUUGAUGGUCUUUUUUAAAAUGUUGUUUCCCCAAUUCUGUUAAAUAAAGUGACUAAGACAAAACUAAUUUGACAGUCUUCUCGUCCUCUAAUCAAAGAUGACCCGCUGUCACAGGAGGGUUUCGUGUUACUGACUCAAGACCACCAAACAGUUCGUGUUUAAGGAGGGACCUGAUUGUAUUUAUUCUACAUAUCCCCCCAAUAUGGCUGUCUACAUGGUUGCGUUCAACACGUCAAGUGUAGGCUUGCAGUAAGGACAUCUCCCUGAUUUGUUUGUUUUAUAUAAGAGGAAUGUUAGAUAUGGAAAUAUAAGUCAAUUUGCUUUGUCAUAAACUUCGCCUUUUAUCUGAAGUGUUGGACGUGUACUUUACAUACCAUUACGUUAAGGAGGUAUGCUACACCAGAGAAAUUUGAUGUAGAUGAAAAGUGUAGGAUAUGUACAACAAUAUUUUGAAUUUGAAAAUUUUCAAAUUUACUUUAUUUUGUCAAAAAAUACAGUUUUAGUAGAAGGUAAUCUGAAAAAAAUUUAAAACCCCUGCUGGACUCGAACCUGCAACCUACAGUUCAGCAGUCGGUAUUCUUUUUUUUUCCCUCUAUUUUUCGGUAUUCUAACCUACUGAGCUACUCGGCUAGGUAUUUAAAUGGAAAAGGAAAAGUCAAAUAUUGCUGAUAUCGAUUUUGUCAUCCAUGUUUUUAAAGGAAGUCAGCCAUUAUGACGAUGUAGAGUACUACCUUAAUGCGAUACAACGGGUCACUUAAUGAUGCAACUAAAAUUACAAGAUUGAUUACUUUAAUCCCUUUACAUAGUUCCUUCUAGCAGUGUUUUAGUAUUUUACAUAGUCUUACAAAUGUACCGUUACUUAGAAUUACGGUACUGAGCGGUACUGAGGGACUGAAGACGAUUUGUACCAAUGUAUUGGAAGUUGUAUUUCCACCGAAUGGGUCCUCACAUGUUUAAAAGAUUUCUCCUUUUGAAACCAAGCCUCGCCUGUUUACAUAUCUGUGACUUCCGCCAUGUCAGGAUGUUGGGGUCUUUCAGAACAUGACAACGACUUCAAACCAUGGACAAUCCCGUUAUAGAUUUUUUAUGUCUCCCCGAUAACUUGUUUCGAGUUUGUAGAAUUUGUUUGUCAUGUCCUUAUUACAUAAUCGUGAGGAAUCUUUGUACGUCUUCAUUUUGC